CCUACGGGAGGCAGCAGUGGGGAAUAUUGCACAAUGGGCGAAAGCCUGAUGCAGCACCGCCGCGUGAAGGAAGAAGGCCUUCGGGUCGUAAACUUCUGUCCUUGGGGAAGAAGAACUGACGGUACCCAAGGAGGAAGCCCCGGCUAACUACGUGCCAGCAGCCGCGGUAAUACGUAGGGGGCAAGCGUUAUCCGGAUUUACUGGGUGUAAAGGGAGCGUAGACGGUUAUGCAAGUCUGAAGUGAAAGCCCAAGGCUCAACCAUGGGACUGAUUUGGAAACUGUAAAACUGGAGUGCAGGAGAGGUAAGCGGAAGUCCUAGUGUAGCGGUGAAAUGCGUAGAUAUUAGGAGGAACACCAGUGGCGAAGGCGGCUUACUGGACUGUAACUGACGUUGAGGCUCGAAGGCGUGGGGAGCAAACAGGAUUAGAUACCCCUGUAGUC
This 442-nucleotide ribosomal RNA is filed under the name uncultured bacterium. Its description in RNAcentral is "partial 16S ribosomal RNA". It matches the Rfam family "Bacterial small subunit ribosomal RNA", at positions 338 to 795 of the family's 1533-position model. The record is from RNAcentral.